This 429-nucleotide ribosomal RNA is filed under the name Bacteroidota bacterium. RNAcentral describes it as "Bacteroidetes bacterium partial 16S ribosomal RNA". It matches the Rfam family "Bacterial small subunit ribosomal RNA", at positions 355 to 776 of the family's 1533-position model. The record is from RNAcentral. Lineage: Bacteria; Pseudomonadati; Bacteroidota.
UAGGGAAUCUUCGGCAAUGGGGGGAACCCUGACCGAGCAACGCCGCGUGAGUGAAGAAGGAUUUCGGUUCGUAAAACUCUGUUGUUAGAGAAGAACAGCGCAUAGAGUAACUGUUAGGCGUGUGACGGUAUCUAACCAGAAAGCCACGGCUAACUACGUGCCAGCAGCCGCGGUAAUACGUAGGUGGCAAGCGUUGUCCGGAUUUAUUGGGCGUAAAGCGAGCGCAGGCGGUCAAUUAAGUCUGAUGUGAAAGCCCCCGGCUCAACCGGGGAGGGUCAUUGGAAACUGGUUGACUUGAGUGCAGAAGAGGAGAGUGGAAUUCCAUGUGUGACGGUGAAAUGCGUAGAUAUAUGGAGGAACACCAGUGGCGAAGGCGACUCUCUGGUCUGUAACUGACGCUGAGGUUCGAAGGCGUGGGUAGCAAACAGG